Molecule: long non-coding RNA, 452 nt
Organism: Empidonax traillii (willow flycatcher)
Lineage: Eukaryota; Metazoa; Chordata; Aves; Passeriformes; Tyrannidae
Exons: 3
Source: RefSeq, a predicted model, not a curated record
CGCUGGAUGUCCCACUGUAGAGCGUAGUGCCAAACUCUGAGUUCACUGUGUACCUAGUGAAAGACCCAAUAAACCGACUGUUUGUAACAACCGCAGCUCGCUGUGUUUCUGAGGCGCAAACUGCUGGGUUUGAGACCUCAUCUUCAGGUGGUUGCUGUGCUUUUGGGCUUUUGGGUGAGGCUGGUGUUUGUCCUGGGAUCUGGCAGUGAGCUAAGGCAAUGUUAGGGAUUAAUCGGAGACCUUGUUCUAAGGGCUGGGGAAUGAGCAUCUGCAUUUAUGGAAGAACACCUUGUGCCACUCAGUAACACUCAGCAACUUCUGAGAACUGGAGAAACUAGUUCGUAGUGGAGGUGGGUUUGCUGGCAGAUCAAGAAACUUUACAGGUGAUGGAAAGCAUUUGGUGCAGAGGCUCAGCUUUAGGGGAUGUGUUGGCAGGUGAGCUGUGGCAGCAG